Molecule: ribosomal RNA, 450 nt
Filed under: uncultured bacterium
Lineage: Bacteria
Description: bacterial SSU rRNA
Rfam family: Bacterial small subunit ribosomal RNA
Source: RNAcentral
AGCGAACGCUGGCGGCAGGCUUAACACAUGCAAGUCGAGCGCCCCGCAAGGGGAGCGGCAGACGGGAGAGUAACACGUGGGAACGUACCUUUCAGUUCGGAACAACCAAGGGAAACUUUGGCUAAUACCGGAUACGCCCGUAAGGGGAAAGAUUUAUCGCUGAAAGAUCGGCCCGCGUCUGAUUAGCUAGUUGGUGGGGUAAUGGCCCACCAAGGCGACGAUCAGUAGCUGGUCUGAGAGGAUGAUCAGCCUCACUGGGACUGAGACACGGCCCAGACUCCUACGGGAGGCAGCAGUGGGGAAUCUUAGACAAUGGGGGCAACCCUGAUCUAGCCAUGCCGCGUGAGUGAUGAAGGCCUUAGGGUUGUAAAGCUCUUUCAGCUGGGAAGAUAAUGACGGUACCAGCAGAAGAAGCCCCGGCUAACUCCGUGCCAGCAGCCGCCGUAAAAC